Molecule: long non-coding RNA, 1030 nt
Organism: Lactuca sativa (garden lettuce)
Lineage: Eukaryota; Viridiplantae; Streptophyta; Magnoliopsida; Asterales; Asteraceae
Source: RefSeq, a predicted model, not a curated record
CCGUCAUUUCUUGAUCGAUCAGGCUUGAAAGAAAAGGGGAUACGGGAGCAAUGAAAUCAGAUAGCGAGAAGGAAGCGUGAAGCGGCUUCGAGGCCAGAUGGUGGUCGUCAUCUCGCGAAGGGAACUGAGUGCCUCCGGGGUUGGCCAGGCCGAAGAUUGAGAUGGGUGAAGAAGCGAGGCGACUAUGAUCCUUGGACGAUAAGGAAGAGACGAAGCAGCAGGGCUGGUCGUCUUCUGUCUUGGAAGUAGUAGCGAAGGGGAAAGAGGUCCGAAAGGGUCUGGGAGGCUUCGCAACCAGCAGCAGCGAUGGUGACCGGGUGUUCGGUGGGUUUGCUAGACGUGAGGGGAAGAGGAGGGUGCGAGCGGUGGGACGCUGAGCGACGACAGUUCCCGUAAGCGAUUCGGUGGCAGUUGCUUUCUUCAUUCUUGAUGUUUGCAGGUGCGUGGACGGGGGCUGCUCCGGCAGCUCCCCUGUUAUUUUUUUUUUCGUCUUUGGCAACAGGAGAUCAAAAAGAACAAUGAUUAAAGGAGGUUCGGUGGUGCUGGUGGAUUGCUGCUUCUUCUUCUCCGGUGAACUAUGCCAACAGGAGAAAAAUAAAUGGUGUUGCUGCCCUUCUUGCUGACUGGAAAACGUAUGAACAAACAGUUCUUCGCUGGAACUCGAAACAGGAAGAGGAAAGGGAGAAAGUAUUUUGAGUGUAAUUGUUUGGUUUUGUUUUUUGUUUGUUUGUAUGUUUGCUUUUUUUUUUUUAGUCUUGAAACUGUUUGAUUUGAUCUUGGUUGAGUCUGAGUAUAGAAUUGUCUUUGUGUUUGAGUGUUCUCCAAGGUUAGUGUGCACAUAAUAUGUUCCUUUUCUUUUGUGUGUGUGUGUAGGAAAGGGACUUUCUACACAAUUAGAUUUUUGCAAUUGUAUAUGAAAUCUUUUAUUUGAUUUUAUUGUGAUUUUUGGUGUCAAAUUUAGGAUUUGAUUUUUGUGAGUGUAGGGAUAUUUGUUAAUCUAUAAUGAUAUUAUCAGAUUUUGGAAAGAAAA